UACUAAGCUCACAAUUUUUCUAGAGCUAAAAGUUAGUAAGAAAGAAAAGUCGAAAAGUGAAAUGGUCAAAGAGUAUGGAGUUACCUUAUCGAUAUUCUGCAUGUUCCUUGAAAAUAAGGACAGAAUAAAAAGAAAAGCAGCCAAAGGAAGUGAAAUCGGUAACAGAAUGAGAGGAGAAAAACAUGCCAACUUAGUAAAUUAAACGCUUGAGUGGUUUUCCCAGGUCAGAGCAAAUAAUAUUUCUGUGUCUGGGUUCUAAUUUGUCUAUUUGUUUGUAGGUAAGGCUGAUAAAAGUGCAUUCUAGAUAGUCUUCAUGGCUGGCAGCUGCACUUCAGCAUUGCUGCAAAAUCAAGCCACAACUCCUAAAAGAAGUAAUCCACAGUUGCUUUGGAACCAGUAACGGCUCAGAUGAACGGCAGGCCAUGUGCUGACUUGUGGGAAUGAGCAGCAAAGAGAAAUGAACGCUCCCAUACUCAAAUUUGAUGGUUUGGUUGGUGUCGGUAACAUUCGUUCCCUCAGCUGAUGAUGAAUUUUAAACCAGAACAGACACGAGCAUUUCUAUUCAGAACAGAACAGUGUGGUUCUGCUAUGAGCAUGGAAGAGCAGGAAGACAAGUUGCCCAAGUCCAAACAUCCCAGGAGAAUAGAAGCAUAAAUGGCACCUGACAGUCAGUGAUCCUCUGCAAUAAUGGGAGUGAUUUUGUUUCCAAAGCAACUGAGUCACUAAAUUUGUUAACAACGAAAGAACACAUCAGGAUUGAGUCCUAUGUUAAGCAGAAAGUAAAAUCAGGGUCUUUCAGAUAUGACUAGAGUUCCCUGUAAUCUGUGCCUUCUUCAGCUUAACAAACAUAUCAGAGCACCUCUGAGACUGGUUUGUAAUCCAGGCUGUCUCACCAGCUUUGUAAUCUUUGGCAAGGCCGGUGGAUUCCUCAUCUGUGCAAUUAGGAGACUGGGUGAGGUGAUUUCCAGACCUCGGUGCUGUCAUUUCAGGCCUCAUAGCUCGCAGGAGCUGAAAUGGUAAUUGAAACCUUUUUAAACUCAAAACUAUCUAAAUCAUGAAUUACAGAGAGAGACUCCAUUCUUCUUCGGUAACUAGAUGUUACCACACUUCUGAGAUUGAAAAUUAUAAAGUCAACGAUUUAAAGGAUUCUGCAUAUACUUUAGUGUGCACAUUUAGAAGCAUUUUUCUUAGAAAGCACUCAACGUUUUUUAUAAC
RNAcentral lists this long non-coding RNA (1215 nucleotides) under Equus caballus (horse). RNAcentral's name for it is "lncRNA (ENSECAG00000054732.1)". The record is from RNAcentral. Lineage: Eukaryota; Metazoa; Chordata; Mammalia; Perissodactyla; Equidae.